This 492-nucleotide ribosomal RNA is filed under the name uncultured bacterium. RNAcentral's name for it is "partial 16S ribosomal RNA". It matches the Rfam family "Bacterial small subunit ribosomal RNA", at positions 29 to 507 of the family's 1533-position model. The record is from RNAcentral.
AGCGAACGCUGGCGGUAGGCCUAACACAUGCAAGUCGAACGGCAGCACAGUAAGAGCUUGCUCUUACGGGUGGCGAGUGGCGGACGGGUGAGGAAUACAUCGGAAUCUACUUUUUCGUGGGGGAUAACGUAGGGAAACUUACGCUAAUACCGCAUACGACCUACGGGUGAAAGCAGGGGAUCUUCGGACCUUGCGCGAUUGAAUGAGCCGAUGUCGGAUUAGCUAGUUGGCGGGGUAAAGGCCCACCAAGGCGACGAUCCGUAGCUGGUCUGAGAGGAUGAUCAGCCACACUGGAACUGAGACACGGUCCAGACUCCUACGGGAGGCAGCAGUGGGGAAUAUUGGACAAUGGGCGCAAGCCUGAUCCAGCCAUACCGCGUGGGUGAGGAAGGCCUUCGGGUUGUAAAGCCCUUUUGUUGGGAAAGAAAAGCAGCAGGUUAAUACCCCGCUGUUCUGACGGUACCCAAAGAAUAAGCACCGGCUAACUUCGUG